CCCAAACACAAUCAAAUCUGAAAUCACAAAUCAUAGUUGAUAUCACAAGCUGUGACCAAUUUAUAUGUUUGUCCGAAGUUGCCAUUUUCUACAAGUGACAGUAUCCCGUACUUGUGCAUAGGCUGUAGAUGGAGCCACGCUUGAAAUAACACUGACAUAACAAACCACUAGUCACGGUUGACGGGCACUGAAAAAAAACAUAAAUUCGUUCAUGCAUGACAUGAACACUUAAUUAAGGUCCACAUAACAGGUGAUGAGAUGACAACAGGUCUGCUUCGCACCUUCACAACAACAGAUUGUCAAUAACACACCCUGUGACAUAAAACCACUCACAAGGCAAACAGACAUGACAAGGAACAGGCUAUUAUUAUGACACCAACAAUUACCUUUGUCCAUAGUCAUCUUAAAUCACCACAAUGUCCAAAAUUAAUCCAACAAUUCUCAGUCCAUUUUUCAAGAAGGUUAGUGACAUAAAUAUCCCUGGCUGGUCCGCACAUCAGUGUUGGCUGUGGCCUUGUGUGUAAUCACAGGUAGCUGGCUGUCAAUACCCGGCCGACUGGCCGCGACAAUGGAUUAUACAGGCAGGCAUGUUCGGACACAGCCAGUUCAUGCACCCCCCAGUUCCUGUCUUUGGAGCAUGCUCAGAGCGGAGAUUACCUAUAUCACAAGAUCACAGCCAGGGGUUCAGUGUUGAGGACAAUUAUUCAACAAUUGAACAGCUGGUUCCAUGUCAAUCAUGACCCCGACCCUCCUGGAUGAUUACGGAGUGGGCGUGUCCAGCUCCCCAUGUGCUUCUCACUUCCUGGUUGUGGCUGCAUCUGGAGGGAGCAUCCAUCUAUCUCCCUCCUCACCAGCAGGUGACCACAUAGUGCUCCUGCGUUGGUUCAAGCAAAUCUCCCAGACUCCGUGCACCCAGUAGCUGUGGCUUAUUCCGAGUUAUACGCUGGUCACACCCUCGUCUGUACACAGCCAGGAGAACAGCUGGAGAACUGGGCAGCAGUGGAAACUAAGGGCAUCCAGCAUCAACCAUCAUGGCGGCGAGAUCAGAAACCACUGACAGCCAAACUCAAUGUGUCAGUAUAUAAAAGGUCCGGUGAUGACAGUCAACCUCAAAUUCCUGUCAUCAUGGCAGCCAACACAACCCUUCUGUGUGACCAUGACAGUCAACACAACCCUCCUGUGUUACCAUGACAGUCAACUAAACCCUCCUGUGUCACCAUGGCAGUCAACCCAACUCUCCUGUGUCACCAUGACAGUCAACACAACCCUCCUGUGUUACCAUGACCGUCAACCCAACUCUCCUGUGUCACCAUGACUGUCAACCCAACUCUCCUGUGUCACCAUGACAGUCAACUAAACCCUCCUGUGUCACCAUGGCAGUCAACCCAACUCUCCUGUGUCACCAUGACAGUCAACACAACCCUCCUGUGUCACCAUGACUGUCAACCCAACUCUCCUGUGUCACCAUGACAGUCAACCCAACUCUCCUGUGUCACCAUGACAGUCAACUAAACCCUCCUGUGUCACCAUGGCAGUCAACCCAACUCUCCUGUGUCACCAUGACAGUCAACACAACCCUCCUGUGUCACCAUGACUGUCAACCCAACUCUCCUGUGUCACCAUGACAGUCAACCCAACCUUCUUGUGUCACCAAGACAGUCAACCCAACCCUCCUAUGUAACCAUGGCAGUGAACCCAACUCUCCUGUCACCAUGACAGUCAACCCAACCCUCCUGUGUUACCAUGACAGUCAACACAACCUUCCUGUGUCACCAUGACAGUCAACACAACCCUCCUGUGUCACCAUGACAGUCAACACAACCCUCCUGUGUCACCAUGACAGUCAACACAACCCUCCUGUGUUACCAUGACAGUCAACACAACCCUCCUGUGUCACCAUGACAGUCAACACAACCCUCCUGUGUCACCAUGACAGUCAACACAACUCUCCUGUGUUACCAUGACAGUCAACACAACCCUCCUGUGUCACCAUGACAGUAAACACAACCCUCCUGUGUUACCAUGACAGUCAACACAACCCUCCUGUGUCACCAUGGCAGUCAACACAACCCUCCUGUGUCACCAUGACAGUCAACACAACCCUCCUGUGUCACCAGUCACAGGUACCAAGAAGAAUAGCCUGUGUAAGCUGGACGAGAUGGAAGGGAACUCUACCACUCAAUCCUCUCAUCCUAAAACCAUGUCAGUGACAAGAUGCAAAGAGUUGUCUCCCUUACCUGGCCCAGCAGCUCCCUGCACAAGAGGAUCAAACUUGACAAACAGAGACUCACGGCCCAGAUCCGACUCUUUACACUGGAGAAGAAGAGAAGCCAGUCAGUGAGACUCGUAGUACUGGCAGCAGUAUCAUGGCGGGUACAGUGCGUGUGGAUGGGCAGACUUGAACACAAACUCACCAUCAGAUGCAGGAACAAAGCCUUCAUUGUCACACUCCGGCAUCUCCCCAUCUUCCCCUGCACCAAAGUCAUGGACCAUCUCCAGGCUAUCAGCCAUCUGAUUGGCUGCUUCUUUGUCAUGUGACUUCAGACCCUGCACAACAGGCAGCUGUUUGGCUACUUCUUUGUCAUGUGACUGCAGAUCCUCCUCUACAGGCAGCUGAUUGGCUGGCGGUGGAUCAGAAGUUAUCAAACAUGUCAAGAAGAGUGAGUGGGUGAAAAGUCAAAGAAGUCCCAGCGGCGUUCAGACUGGAGAUGAAUGAUGCAUCACUGACACGACUGAUGGUCAUCAACUAUCAUCAGGCUGAUGACACGAGUCAAGAAUUGAUCAUCCAGCCAACAACAGCUGAGGACGGCGUUCAGUAUUUCUCAUUGACGGUUAUUGAUUAGAGCCCUGUAAUAUCUUCACCAAUGAAGAGGAACAAAACGGCCACAUGUUGCCCCUUUUCUAAAACAUAUGGGUUUAAUCAACAGUUAUAAACAUGAUGGAAUUCUGACAGGUCGCACCCAAACAUUCCAUCACUGUUGAUAUAUUUGACAGCUAGAUCGGCAUUAGUGGUUCCACUAAUUGUAAAAAUGUUCGUUGUUUAGAUACAUCGUGAUUGAACGUUAUGGCUUACAGUAUUC
RNAcentral lists this long non-coding RNA (3080 nucleotides) under Haliotis rufescens (red abalone). RNAcentral's name for it is "uncharacterized LOC124150940, transcript variant X2". The record is from RNAcentral. Lineage: Eukaryota; Metazoa; Mollusca; Gastropoda; Lepetellida; Haliotidae.